Molecule: transfer RNA, 75 nt
Filed under: Phenylobacterium sp.
Lineage: Bacteria; Pseudomonadati; Pseudomonadota; Alphaproteobacteria; Caulobacterales; Caulobacteraceae
Description: tRNA-Gly
Rfam family: tRNA
About the family: Transfer RNA (tRNA) molecules are approximately 80 nucleotides in length. Their secondary structure includes four short double-helical elements and three loops (D, anti-codon, and T loops).
Source: RNAcentral
GCGGGUGUAGUUCAGAGGUAGAACGCAAGCUUCCCAAGCUUGAUGUCGCGGGUUCGAUUCCCGCCACCCGCUCCA